AGCUUUGCGCAGUGUCAGUAUCGUAGCCAAUGAGGUUUAUCCGAGGCACGAUUGUUGCUAAUUGAAAACUUUUCCCAAUACCCUGCCAUGAUGACUUGAAAUAGUGGGCAUUGGCAAUAUUUGACAGUCUCUACAGAGA
Molecule: small nuclear RNA, 139 nt
Filed under: Saimiri boliviensis boliviensis (Bolivian squirrel monkey)
Lineage: Eukaryota; Metazoa; Chordata; Mammalia; Primates; Cebidae
Description: U4 spliceosomal RNA (ENSSBOG00000008047.1)
Rfam family: U4 spliceosomal RNA
About the family: U4 small nuclear RNA (U4 snRNA) is a component of the major U2-dependent spliceosome.
Source: Rfam by way of RNAcentral